RNAcentral lists this ribosomal RNA (782 nucleotides) under uncultured Kingella sp. Its description in RNAcentral is "bacterial SSU rRNA". It matches the Rfam family "Bacterial small subunit ribosomal RNA", at positions 67 to 842 of the family's 1533-position model. Lineage: Bacteria; Pseudomonadati; Pseudomonadota; Betaproteobacteria; Neisseriales; Neisseriaceae. The record is from RNAcentral.
CGGCAGCGGGGGUGCUUGCACCUGCCGGCGAGUGGCGAACGGGUGAGUAACAUAUUGGAAUGUACUGAGUAGUGGGGGGUAACCAAUCGAAAGAUUGGCUAAUACCGCAUACGUCCUGAGGGGGAAAGCAGGGGAUCUUCGGACCUUGCGCUAUUUGAGCAGCCAAUAUCUGAUUAGCUAGUUGGUGGGGUAAAGGCCCACCAAGGCGACGAUCAGUAGCGGGUCUGAGAGGAUGAUCCGCCACACUGGGACUGAGACACGGCCCAGACUCCUACGGGAGGCAGCAGUGGGGAAUUUUGGACAAUGGGGGCAACCCUGAUCCAGCCAUGCCGCGUGUCUGAAGAAGGCCUUCGGGUUGUAAAGGACUUUUGUUAGGGAAGAAAAGGGAAGUGCUAAUACCACUUUUUGCUGACGGUACCUAAAGAAUAAGCACCGGCUAACUACGUGCCAGCAGCCGCGGUAAUACGUAGGGUGCGAGCGUUAAUCGGAAUUACUGGGCGUAAAGCGAGCGCAGACGGUUACUUAAGCAAGAUGUGAAAUCCCCGGGCUCAACCUGGGAACUGCGUUCUGAACUGGGUAGCUAGGGUAUGUCAGAGGGGGGUAGAAUUCCACGUGUAGCAGUGAAAUGCGUAGAGAUGUGGAGGAAUACCGAUGGCGAAGGCAGCCCCCUGGGAUAAUACUGACGUUCAUGCUCGAAAGCGUGGGUAGCAAACAGGAUUAGAUANCCUGGUAGUCCACGCCCUAAACGAUGUCGAUUAGCUGUUGGGCAACUUGAUUGCUUA